UACGUAGGUGACAAGCGUUGUCCGGAUUUACUGGGCGUAAAGAGCGCGCAGGCGGUCGUUCAAGUCGAGUGUGAAAGCCCCCGGCUCAACUGGGGAGGGUCAUUCGAUACUGAUCGACUCGAAGGCAGGAGAGGGUAGUGGAAUCCCCGGUGUAGUGGUGAAAUGCGUAGAUAUCGGGAGGAACACCAGUGGCGAAGGCGACUACCUGGCCUGUUCUUGACGCUGAGGCGCGAAAGCUAGGGGAGCAAACGGG
This 253-nucleotide ribosomal RNA is filed under the name uncultured bacterium. RNAcentral's name for it is "partial 16S ribosomal RNA". It matches the Rfam family "Bacterial small subunit ribosomal RNA", at positions 524 to 776 of the family's 1533-position model. The record is from RNAcentral.